UGGGGAAUUUUGCGCAAUGGGCGAAAGCCUGACGCAGCUACGCCGCGUGUACGAUGAAGGCCUUUGGGUCGUAAAGUACUGUCAACGGGGACGAACGCCUCAGAUUGAAUAGGCCUGAGGUCUGACGGUACCCGUGGGGGAAGCACCGGCUAACUCUGUGCCAGCAGCCGCGGUAAUACAGAGGGUGCAAACGUUGCACGGAAUGACUGGGCGUAAAGCGCGCGCAGGUGGCCCGUUAAGUUGGCUGUGAAAUCCCCUGGCUCAACCAGGGAAGUGCAGUCGAUACUGGCGGGCUCGAGUCCCGGAGAGGGUGGUAGAAUUCCCAGUGUAGAGGUGAAAUUCGUAGAUUUUAGGAAGAACACCAGUGGCGAAGGCGGCUCACUGGCCCGGUACUGACGCUGAGGCGCGAAAGCGUGGGGAGCAAACAGGAUUAGAUAC
RNAcentral lists this ribosomal RNA (438 nucleotides) under uncultured prokaryote. Its description in RNAcentral is "bacterial SSU rRNA". It matches the Rfam family "Bacterial small subunit ribosomal RNA", at positions 355 to 785 of the family's 1533-position model. The record is from RNAcentral.